AUCUCUAGGGUAAUGAGUGAUAGGGAUUAUUUUCGGGAUAUCUCAAGCUCAUUGUUGUCCAAAUUCUUUUUAUCUUGUCAAUAAGUGCAUGUGAAAACGUGAACAAACUAAUCCCCCAGACAAAUAACAACUAGAAGACUGAGACAUACAUCACACAUAAUACCUUACUUUAUAUUAUAACAGUAUAUUUAUAAGCCAUUUCUCUACGGGCCCUCUUUCCUUUUUACAUCACACUACAAAUAUCCACGUAGGCCAGGAGAAUUUCUAUCUCCUCUAGCGUAAUUGCAGCUCCCAAAACUAAUGUGAGACUUGGAACCGGCAUGCCUCAAUGCCAAUCCAAGCCGAGCGAACCUUGACCUCUUCCUAGGGCAUGAAUGUAUUCAAACAUGCAAACAUGAGCAAAUCAUAUAAAAGAAUAUUACAACAUACACAUGGUUUACAUGGGUGAGCACACAACAAAACUUGAUGACGUAGGUUAUCGCCCUAGUCAAGAGUUGGAGAUUUCACUUGCAUACAAAAGCAUAAGGAAAUUGAUUGUCAAACAUGUACACAAACUAAGCCCGAAUGAGAGUGCAACCAAGUCCAAGUAACGUGACUUGCGGCUUGAACCAACAUGCGUCAAUGUCGGUCUAAGGCUGAGAGAGACCUAUCCAUGACCCGGAGUGCGAUUCGAUUUAGGAAUGUAAACACGUGAACAAAUUAAUCAUCAACAUUCAUAAAACUAACCAUGGGUGUAUACACAACUAAACUUGAUGACGUAAGUUAUUGCCAUAACCAAGAGUUAAAGAUUCUACUUACUUGGAUGGACCUCAAAAGCUUUAGGAACGGUUUGGUGAGGGUGGAUGCAUAUGAAGGCUGAGGGAGAGGAAUAGAGGAGAGGCAUGGAAAGAAGGC
Molecule: long non-coding RNA, 894 nt
Filed under: Eucalyptus grandis
Lineage: Eukaryota; Viridiplantae; Streptophyta; Magnoliopsida; Myrtales; Myrtaceae
Description: long non-coding RNA (EGRA_LNC003214)
Source: RNAcentral